This is a transfer RNA of Ramazzottius varieornatus, 73 nucleotides long. It matches the Rfam family "tRNA". From Rfam's summary of the family: Transfer RNA (tRNA) molecules are approximately 80 nucleotides in length. NCBI's taxonomy places the organism in Eukaryota, Metazoa, Tardigrada, Eutardigrada, Parachela, Ramazzottiidae. The record is from Rfam.
GCCGACUUAGCUCAGCGGUAGAUGCGCUUGCCUAGUAAGCAAGAUGUCGGGAGUUCGAUCCUCCCAGUUGGCU